AUUUCAUGCAUUCUUUGGUAAAUUUGGUAAUUGAUAAUGUACCUAAGUAUAUAAAAUGACGAAAAUUAAUACAGAUUCAGUUCGGUCCAGUUCAGUGAAACAUAUCGUUAACAUAAUGCUGCUGAGAAAAGUUCUAGCUUUAUUAUUUAUUUCUAAGAUGGCUGUAUCCCAGUCAAUGUACCCCACCACAGCGGUAUCAUAUUCAACAAGUGCUGUGCCUACAAUACAAACAUUACCAGUGUCACCAACAAUCAGCCCUACACCAGCUACAGUGAGAACUUUACCCAUGUCAACACAGCCAGCAACAGUGACAGCAAUACCAGUAACAGGCCCAUCAAUAUCUCCUGUCUCAUCUUCACCAGGUGUGAAAGUUACUACAAUGCCAGCUUCAAGUUCAUCACCGACAGUGUCAUUAACAUCUAUGUCACCUGUAUCUUCACCGUCUAUAAGUCCUGCAUCAAAAUUGACAGAACCCAAAGCCCAUUUCUUACCAGCAUCUAUCCCUGAUCCAAAAGUAACAAUCCUACCUUACGAUACGCCUGCAGCAGUAGACCUGUCUUGUCUGAAUGAUCCUUAUCUGGUAAAUAUUAAAGACAACGGCAAUGCGUCACCGGUAAAAAGGAUCACAAUGGCGUGUACAGACGAUUUCAUCUUUCCAGAUGAAGAUCCUGUGUGCCCUGGUAUUCCGAAGAAAUAUUCCAAGCCACCAACUCCCGUUACGAAGAAGGGUAAGGGGAAUUUGAAUAACCCGAUUGAUUUUGAAGGCUUGAUGGAUGGUUUUAUGAGUUGUCUGUAGAGAUGAUAAGAUCGGAUUAACAUAAUGAGACACAAUUAGAAGAGACGAGAUCGCCAUAACGUGAUAAUUCUAACUAGAAAUAAAA
Cydia splendana is the source of this 881-nucleotide long non-coding RNA. RefSeq lists it as uncharacterized. The transcript is spliced from 2 exons. The record is from RefSeq and is a predicted model, not a curated record. Lineage: Eukaryota; Metazoa; Arthropoda; Insecta; Lepidoptera; Tortricidae.